Molecule: ribosomal RNA, 440 nt
Filed under: uncultured bacterium
Lineage: Bacteria
Description: partial 16S ribosomal RNA
Rfam family: Bacterial small subunit ribosomal RNA
Source: RNAcentral
CCUACGGGUGGCAGCAGUGGGGAAUAUUGCACAAUGGGGGGAACCCUGAUGCAGCAACGCCGCGUGGGUGAAGAAGUACUCCGGUAUGUAAAGCCCUGUCAGCAGGGAAGAAAAUGACGGUACCUGACCAAGAAGCCCCGGCUAACUACGUGCCAGCAGCCGCGGUAAUACGUAGGGGGCAAGCGUUAUCCGGAUUUACUGGGUGUAAAGGGAACGUAGACGGCAAGGCAAGUCUGGAGUGAAAGCCCGGGGCCCAACCACGGGACUGCUUUGGAAACUGUGUUGCUGGAGUGCAGGAGGGGUAAGCGGAAUUCCUAGUGUAGCGGUGAAAUGCGUAGAUAUUAGGAGGAACACCGGUGGCGAAGGCGGCUUACUGGACUGUAACUGACGUUGAGGCUCGAAGGCGUGGGGAGCAAACAGGAUUAGAUACCCGAGUAGUC